This is a non-coding RNA of Delphinapterus leucas (beluga whale), 953 nucleotides long. The record is from RefSeq and is a predicted model, not a curated record. Lineage: Eukaryota; Metazoa; Chordata; Mammalia; Artiodactyla; Monodontidae.
GACAACUGGAUUAGUCCUGUUUUAAACUACCAUUAAACCUCGUGUGUGUGCUGUGCUUGCUGCUGGGACUCUGACCGAGGCAGUAAUUGGUACCAGGUGAAAGAAUGCAGAGAGAUAAAUGUGCCUGGAGUCUUAAGAAAACUGAUGAUUGAUCUACUAAAUGGAUGAAAGAAUUUAUUCACAUAAAAAUCCUGCCUUUGAAACUAAGGCACAUGGACACACCCUUUAAGCCAGGAUUUCAAUGAAAAAACCUAGCCAAUCCAGUUUUAACAUUGUCAUUGGUGGUGUUAACAUGGAGACAGUCGCCUUCUUGUUGCUCAAUAGGGUGAGACUUUGCAAAAGGCUUGGGCAUGUACAACGUGUCUAGCUUCAGCCACCUCCUUCUCCUCCAUUGCCAAAGAAGCAGAAGCCAAGGAACCAUCUCCUUAUUGUUCUCUUGCAUAAAUGGGCCGACUGCCCAUUGGGGGAGGGUGGCGCCUAGACAUUUACGUGACCUGCUGUGGAAGGGUGGGGUUACUGUCUCAAAGUCCCUGCUCUUAAAAACUAGGGAAAGAAGGCCCUUCUAAGUAAAAGGAAAAGAAAAAUAAUUGACCUGUAAGCCUGCAGGCUGCUACUAAUGGGAAAGAAUGCUAGAGCACUUCACUGCUAGCAAGGACAGCUGAAGAAAAUGCAGUCCAGGCCCAUAAGAAACAUGAAGAUUGCCAGCCCCUCGCCUUGCUGUUCAGCAUCAGAAGACCACCUUAGUUUUUUUUUUGUUUUUUUUUUUUGGUUUUUUUUCACCAGACACACACAAUUGAGCUCUUUUGAAUCUGGCAUCACAGAUGUUGAGACAUAUUUUUGCAGAGCAGUUUGUGAUGACAUUGAUGAGCUAUAUUGCCUCACAGUGAUCUCUCAAGGUGAGCGAAGGCAAUCCAACAGAUGUGGAAACUAAAGUGUUGGGAGCCCUGGCACAA